This 301-nucleotide ribosomal RNA is filed under the name uncultured bacterium. RNAcentral's name for it is "partial 16S ribosomal RNA". It matches the Rfam family "Bacterial small subunit ribosomal RNA", at positions 509 to 807 of the family's 1533-position model. The record is from RNAcentral.
CAGUAGCCGCGGUAAUACGAAGGGUGCAAGCGUUAAUCGGAAUUACUGGGCGUAAAGCGCACGCAGGCGGUUUGUUAAGUCAGAUGUGAAAUCCCCGAGCUUAACUUGGGAAUGGCAAUGGAAACUGGACGGCUAGAGUGUGUCAGAGGAUGGUGGAAUUCCCGGUGUAGCAGUGAAAUGCGUAGAUAUGUGGAGGAACACCGAUGGCGAAGGCAGCCUCCUGGGCCAAUACUGACGCUCAUGCACGAAAGCGUGGGGAGCAAACAGGAUUAGAUACCCCCGUAGUCCCUGUCUCUUAUAC